RNAcentral lists this long non-coding RNA (1833 nucleotides) under Schizosaccharomyces pombe (fission yeast). Lineage: Eukaryota; Fungi; Ascomycota; Schizosaccharomycetes; Schizosaccharomycetales; Schizosaccharomycetaceae. The record is from RNAcentral.
GGUAAAGAGGAUAAGAUAAAACAAAAAAAAAGAUGAAACCAAAAAAAUAAGUAAUAUGAAUGCUAAAGCUAUCUCAUCUAGAAGGGUCAAAAAAUGAGCUUUUCUAAUGAAGUGGGUCUAUUAUCGGAGACUUGCACAUCAUCCAAGAUGACUUCCCAUGACUUGCCUCGCAACGAUAUCUGCUCUUGUUAUUUGCAUCCUGUGUGUUAGCUCCAGCAUUUUCUCUUCUCUUUUGCUUUAUCGCCGAGCUAUGAGUAGCGAAUAACUCUAUUCCUAAUCUGGUUACGGCGAUCUUGCCAUGUCCAACGACCCGGAUCCAAAAGUAACAAUAAAUAGAUGAAAAUGAUGGACAAGUGGUACCCAAGAAAUAUGCUUAUUCCAUUAAAUUAUGCUUAUACCUAGUUUUCUUGAGGAUUCGUUUCUCCAGUGGUUUGCCUUUUCACUUUUUCUUAUAGCAAGUCAACAGCAUUUCUACUGUGUUUUGACCGGUUUUAACAGAUCCGGUGGAAGGGUUUGGUGGUUUAUGAAAUCACAUCAAAGUACACAGCGACGAGCGAUCCAUCGGUUUCACAAUUUUCCUGGUUAGGGUUAAAGCGGAAAGGGAAGGGAAGGGACGAGAUGAUGGAGCAGAGUAAUAUGACGGGCGGCGAAGGACGACGUAAAUUGAGAUAUGGAUACAGAUGUAGACGUAGACGUAGACUUAGAAAGGUUGUAAAAAUAAUCCGAGCUUGAUGCAAUGCUAGGGAAAAGAGGAACGCAGCAUAGAGUUGAGACUAGUGCAGACAAGUAUAAAGUGUGAAAGGGAAUGGACGAUGGAAGUAUGGACUGGACCAUAGGCAGCUUGCAAUGUUUGUAGUUAACAUUUCGAGUAAGAACAAGAAAAUUGUCGAAUUAUCUAAUCUACUUGGAAACUGAAAUUUGAAUUUUUUAAUCAAAGCGGAUUGCAAAACUGCAACAUUGUUUAUUGAAAUUUUUCUCUACCCAAUUUCGCCUGUAAUCCAGGCCGUACACAGAGGUUGAUAAACUUUCGAACUCAUUACUAUAGCGAUAAUGAGAGUGAUUUUCGAAUCCUUGCUUACUACACAGUAAACUUCACUAUUUGGUAAACAAUGUCUUAAGAUGACUGAGCUGGAUAGAAGAACAGAAUGAGAGAAGUGAAGAGGAAUAAAAUGAUUUACAAAAAUCACUAUUUUGAAAGUAAGGAAAAUUUAAUUCCUGCAAAAACCUGAUCUGGUCAAAUUGAACAUCAUUAUAACCGUAAUUCCGUGCCAGCAAGUUUUUGGCUUUCAUUCCUUUUAGAUGCGCGAAAAUGAUCGAUGAUAUCAAUUUCAUUUUCUUCCUAAAAUAGUUGAAAAUGUCCUCAUCCUACAAGUAGAGGAAUUAAUGCAAAAGAUCAUAGUGCCUGUCGUUAUGCGCAGGUUCGCAUUGAGUAGACGCGACGUCUUAUUUCACUGUCGGAUAAGGAUGUAUUGGUUUUAAUCACAAUACGUAUUAUUACGCCGUGCACUAUAUAAUAAACAUUGAAAAAAGUUGUAUAAAUUAAAAAUAAACCAAAAAAAGGCACGAAUCGAUUCGUUUAAAAUUACUAUCCAAGGUUUCUAAUUCCAAUAGAUGUUUUUGGUGAUCAGUCUAAGAACUGCUGUUUUCAACACUGCAAAAGUUUAUAAUUAUAAAUUGUAUUUAAACCCUUUGUAGUGAUAGGAAAAUGCACUAUACCGUACAAAGUUGACAAGCAAAGCAGCAAACAUAUUUCUUAGAGACAGGGCGCGCUUUCACAAUCAAUAAUUUGUCAGGAAAUGAAAUCAUGCAAUAAAAAUACAUCUGAUAUAGUCU